GUAAUUGUAAUAAGGCCCAAUCAGCCUGGGUUUAAACACAAAAAAGAAAAUAGUAUUAACCCAACAAAUAAGUGGCCCAAAAUAGCCCUGGCCCAAAGCAAAACAAAAAACAAAAAAGAACCCUAGCCGCAUGUCUGCCCCGACGCCGCCAGCAAGCCUCCAACUGCCGCACGUCUCGGGGCUAGCUCUUCCGCGUUUGCUCACCAUGAUACCUGCAAAAAACGGACUCAAAGAGUCCGGAUGUGAAAAAACAAGCAAAUAAUUUUAUUUUUGUUUCUUUUUUUCGGCCUAUAAAAGGCCAUUUUUAAUAUGUAAAUGGGGGGAUUUUUUGGUAUUGAGAGAAUACAGAGGGAAAAUUUCAAUAGAGAACAGAAAAUUCGAGUUUUUUUAAAGGUGAUUCUUUUAGUUUUUUUUUCUUUUGCAGUGACUAUCAUCUUUAUUUACAUUUUUCUUUUAUCUUUACUUUCAUUUUAUUUCACUUAAAGUAACCAAGAAAAGAAGGAAGGGAUCUUACCUUCUUCGUUGAAGUUGCCGGAUUGUUGUCAACUCCGUCGCGAUCAGAGCGUUGGCGCAAUCGAACGGCGGUGCAAGGAUGCUAGGGAUGAAACCCUAGCAGAGCAAAAGGGGGCACUAGUUUUAUUUUUAUUUUUAUUUUUUUUUCUCUUCUUAUCUGCUGCAA
Molecule: long non-coding RNA, 679 nt
Filed under: Gossypium barbadense (sea-island cotton)
Lineage: Eukaryota; Viridiplantae; Streptophyta; Magnoliopsida; Malvales; Malvaceae
Description: long non-coding RNA (GBAR_LNC017685)
Source: RNAcentral